GUACGCGCUGCUGUCUGCUAACGAUUCCUGUUGUUGCUGCUGCAGAAGAGGUGCUCACAAAGUGUAGGUCCUGCGUGAAGGACGAAUCGUUAGAAGUCAAAAUGCACGGUUUGCUGAGAAAGAUGACUCCUGUACUCCGACAGGGAGUGCGUGGGGUGAGAUCCCACGUCGAACAAGUUCCCGGAGAGAAACCCAGCGCCGCUGUGAAAUUAUUCGGUAUCGGCGUUAUCGGAGCGGGCUUCUUCGGAGGUCCAGCCUGGAUUCUGGUCCACCUCCCGAACUACCGGGGAGAGGCAUAAACACUGUUAAGACUUGUAGCGAAUAGAAAUGGGAGCAAAAUAAACUUCGGAUGAGCUGAGAGGUACAACAAGA
Galendromus occidentalis (western predatory mite) is the source of this 372-nucleotide long non-coding RNA. RefSeq lists it as uncharacterized. The transcript is spliced from 2 exons. The record is from RefSeq and is a predicted model, not a curated record. Lineage: Eukaryota; Metazoa; Arthropoda; Arachnida; Mesostigmata; Phytoseiidae.